AUGGCGAACCUCCCCACCCACGCCACCAACGCGGACGCCUCCGGCUUCAAGCUCUUCGGCCAGGUCAUCCAGCCCGACGCCCACCGCUCCGCCCCCGCCUCCACCUCCGUCUCCACGGGACAGAGCGCCGCGGCCCCGCCGCCUCAGCCUCCUCCUCCUCCCCCGUCGACGACGCAGCCGGCCGCGGUCGGGGGCGAGCCGUUGCCAUGCCCGCGGUGCGGGAGCAGGGAGACCAAGUUCUGCUACUUCAACAACUACAACGUGCGGCAGCCGCGCCACCUCUGCCGCGCCUGCCGCCGCUACUGGACGGCCGGCGGCGCGCUCCGCCGCGUCGCCACCGCGUCCCCGGGCCGCCGCAGGCCUCGGCCCAGCGCCCGAUCGGCCGCCGCCGCGGCCUCGGCCACCGCCUCCGCCUCCGAGGAAGGGGCAGCAGCGGAGAGCGUUGACUCGCGGUCGUAG
RNAcentral lists this ribosomal RNA (459 nucleotides) under Triticum aestivum (bread wheat). Its description in RNAcentral is "partial small subunit ribosomal RNA". Lineage: Eukaryota; Viridiplantae; Streptophyta; Magnoliopsida; Poales; Poaceae. The record is from RNAcentral.